GAGUUUGAUCCUGGCUCAGAACGAACGCUGGCGGCGUGCCUAACACAUGCAAGUCGAACGGGAUUAGGGGCUUGCUCCUAAUCUAGUGGCGCACGGGUGAGUAACGCGUAGAUAAUCUGCCUGACGAUCUGGGAUAACACUUCGAAAGAGGUGCUAAUACCGGAUAAGCCCACGGAGUCUUUGGAUUCUGCGGGAAAAGGGGGGGACCUUUUGGCCUUCUGUCGUCAGAUGAGUCUGCGUACCAUUAGCUAGUUGGUAGGGUAAAGGCCUACCAAGGCUACGGUGGUUAGCUGGUCUGAGAGGAUGAUCAGCCACACUGGAACUGAGACACGGUCCAGACUCCUACGGGAGGCAGCAGUGGGGAAUUUUGCGCAAUGGGGGAAACCCUGACGCAGCAACGCCGCGUGAGUGAUGAAGGCCUUUGGGUCGUAAAGCCCUGUCAGAGGGGAAGAAAUGAUAUAGUGCUAAUACCACUUUAUCUUGACGGUACCCUCAAAGGAAGCACCGGCUAACUCCGUGCCAGCAGCCGCGGWAAUAC
This 538-nucleotide ribosomal RNA is filed under the name uncultured Geobacteraceae bacterium. Its description in RNAcentral is "bacterial SSU rRNA". It matches the Rfam family "Bacterial small subunit ribosomal RNA", at positions 9 to 526 of the family's 1533-position model. Lineage: Bacteria; Pseudomonadati; Thermodesulfobacteriota; Desulfuromonadia; Geobacterales; Geobacteraceae. The record is from RNAcentral.